This is a non-coding RNA of Paramuricea clavata, 515 nucleotides long. The record is from the annotation of a GenBank genome assembly. Lineage: Eukaryota; Metazoa; Cnidaria; Anthozoa; Malacalcyonacea; Plexauridae.
UAUUUAACUACAAAAUAGUGAUUAAAAAAGUGAUUAAGAGUUUUAUAUAACCGGUCCCUGAUCUUUAUUGAUGUGUAAAAAGUAAAUCUAUAAAAUUAUUAUCACAUACACAAUACCAAAAUUGGAGUUAGCUUUUUUGAUACACCAUGCCAUGAUUGUAUAACAUGAACGUUCUUAUGCAACACGUUGUAAACCACUGCAAUACACAAUCAUAGAUGACAGGUAUGGCGGAUGAUAGAACAAACGAAAUUUUGCAAAAUAGACAUAAUAUAAACUAAUAUAGCAAUAUACCACAAUGACCUUAUCUAAAACUACUAAAACGAUAUUUGAGAUAUUUUUAAGAACGUAAUCAUUGUAGGUAAACAGUUAGAAUUCAUUCGUUUGCAAAUUGAUCAACCUGCUAACUUAUUAUUAUCGAUUGAAUUGUUGAAGAAGAUAAAUUUAAUUUAAUGAAUUUAUUGAGCAAUCUACCGGGUGGGGCAAAAAAAGUACGACUGUUCAAGUACGACAUUGCU